RNAcentral lists this ribosomal RNA (438 nucleotides) under Triticum aestivum (bread wheat). Its description in RNAcentral is "partial small subunit ribosomal RNA". Lineage: Eukaryota; Viridiplantae; Streptophyta; Magnoliopsida; Poales; Poaceae. The record is from RNAcentral.
AUGACUAGGGAUAACCUUAGGAAGAGACACAUCAUCAAACCCCUUGAUUGUGUUUACUGCUUGGAACAAGAGUCUUGUUCUCACCUAUUUUUUGAAUGUAUAGUUGCUAAACAUCUCUGGGCCCACAUUGAGGAAUAUUUCUCUAGUCAGAUUGGCUCAUCCUUCGAAUCUGUCGCCAGAUUCUGGAUUGCUACCAAAAAGUGCUUAGUUUUAAACACUGUUAGUUCAGCUGUCCUUUGGUGCCUCUGGAAAUAUAGAAAUGCUAUGAUUUUCAGUAACACCUCCUGGAUUUCCAUUCCACAGGUCUUGAGGUUGAUCAGGAACAUGGUGAGGAACUGGGCGAUUCUCUCCUCCGGAUCGGACAAGGACAAGUUGAUGAGCUUCGUGGAAACCCUAACAAGAUCCCUCCAGAAACCGUUGGCGAUCACUUGUGGCUGA